This 90-nucleotide transfer RNA is filed under the name Brevibacterium casei. RNAcentral describes it as "tRNA-Val(gac)". Lineage: Bacteria; Bacillati; Actinomycetota; Actinomycetes; Micrococcales; Brevibacteriaceae. The record is from RNAcentral. RNAcentral also lists the same sequence under 1 other name.
CGGUGUCGAGCCCGUCGGGCAGGGCCGCGAUGACGUCGUGGAGCUGCGCCCGGUCGAGGGCGUCGGCGAGUUCGGUCUCCGUCGCAUCGG